CGGCAGGCCUAUCACAUGCAAGUCGAGCGGAUGAGGGUAGCUUGCUACUGAUUCAGCGGCGGACGGGUGAGUAAUGCCUAGGAAUCUGCCCGAUAGUGUGGGACAACGUUUCGAAAGGAACGCUAAUACCGCAUACGUCCUACGGGAGAAAGCAGGGGACCUUCGGGCCUUGCGCUAUCGGAUGAGCCUAGGUCGGAUUAGCUAGUUGGUGGGGUAAAGGCUCACCAAGGCGACGAUCCGUAACUGGUCUGAGAGGAUGAUCAGUCACACUGGAACUGAGACACGGUCCAGACUCCUACGGGAGGCAGCAGUGGGGAAUAUUGGACAAUGGGCGAAAGCCUGAUCCAGCCAUGCCGCGUGUGUGAAGAAGGUCUUCGGAUUGUAAAGCACUUUAAGCUGGGAGGAAGGGCAGUAAGUUAAUACCUUGCUGUUUUGACGUUACCAGCAGAAUAAGCACCGGCUAACUUCGUGCCAGCAGCCGCGGUAAUACGAAGGGUGCAAGCGUUAAUCGGAAUUACUGGGCGUAAAGCGCGCGUAGGUGGUUCAGCAAGUUGGAUGUGAAAGCCCCGGGCUCAACCUGGGAACUGCAUCCAAAACUACUGGGCUAGAGUAUGGUAGUGGGUGGUGGAAUUUCCUGUGUAGCGGUGAAAUGCGUAGAUAUAGGAAGGAACACCAGUGGCGAAGGCGACCACCUGGACUAAUACUGACACUGAGGUGCGAAAGCGUGGGGAGCAAACAGGAUUAGAUACCCUGGUAGUCCACGCCGUAAACGAUGUCAACUAGUUGUUGGGUUCCUUGAGGACUUAGUAACGAAGCUAACGCGAUAAGUUGACCGCCUGGGGAGUACGGCCGCAAGGUUAAAACUCAAAUGAAUUGACGG
RNAcentral lists this ribosomal RNA (880 nucleotides) under uncultured bacterium. Its description in RNAcentral is "bacterial SSU rRNA". It matches the Rfam family "Bacterial small subunit ribosomal RNA", at positions 40 to 916 of the family's 1533-position model. The record is from RNAcentral.